UACGUAGGGUGCAAGCGUUUGUCCGGAAUUAUUGGGCGUAAAGAGCUCGUAGGCGGUCUGUCGCGUCUGCUGUGAAAACUCGGGGCUUAACCCCGGGCCUGCAGUGGGUACGGGCAGACUAGAGUUCGGUAGGGGAGUCUGGAAUUCCUGGUGUAGCGGUGAAAUGCGCAGAUAUCAGGAGGAACACCGGUGGCGAAGGCGGGACUCUGGGCCGAUACUGACGCUGAGGAGCGAAAGCGUGGGGAGCAAACAGG
Molecule: ribosomal RNA, 254 nt
Filed under: uncultured bacterium
Lineage: Bacteria
Description: partial 16S ribosomal RNA
Rfam family: Bacterial small subunit ribosomal RNA
Source: RNAcentral